CUGGGCCGUCUGUUGACUCCACCGCUUGAUCUCCACCGUUGGAUUUGAGUUGUUUGGACUAUAAAUCCCGUGGAAGGGACCAGAUUGCAUCAGAAACAUCGAGAGAGAUUGAGAGAGGUCGACCCAUUCUUGAGACUCGGCGACCCGAUCACGUGACCCGACCGGAGUGACGCCGUCCGGCCACCGAUCGACGACGCACGACCACCGAUGUCUUCCUCUCGUCAUCGCCGUCACGUCUGCGGUCUCGGACCGCCCAUGCACUCGGCGAGGAGGGAGAAUCGACGGUGAGAAGACUUGACUGCUCCGGUGAAUUUCUGCUAUUUCCGGCCUCCGUCUGGACCGCAUUCGCAGGAACUCGGGCUUGGUCAAUCUAAAUUUCAUCUAUUGAGAAGUGAGAUGCAAACCCGAGCGUGAUCGAAGAGUAGCAAGACUAUUAACCUGGAAACUAGAAUGCUUCCUGCAUGGAGUUUGUGUUCGCAGCAACUCAGACUUAAUCACCAUGAUUCAUGCAAUUGAGGUAAAUCUCAGUUUUUCACCUCAACUCAAUGUGUAAUGCUGUUGCUUUUGGCAGUAAAGGUAUAGCCUCGAAUUGGUGAUUGAAAUUCAAGUCUUGAAGUUGGAAUGGAAUUGUUGGAUUUACAGAAAUGUUUCUAGUUGUGUGUGGUGUUGACUAGUCAAGUUAUUGAGCCGCAGUGCUACAGUGAAAAUUUUCAAAUCUGAAUUGUUGCUCAUGGUUCUUGACUUAGUACGACCACUGUAACUAUUAUAUUGAUUAGAAUGGGGUUAAGAAUGGAAGUAAAUAUGUGUGGUUGAAUUGGA
Long non-coding RNA from Rosa rugosa (rugosa rose), 819 nucleotides. RefSeq lists it as uncharacterized. The transcript has 2 exons. The record is from RefSeq and is a predicted model, not a curated record. NCBI's taxonomy places the organism in Eukaryota, Viridiplantae, Streptophyta, Magnoliopsida, Rosales, Rosaceae.